GAUGAACGCUGGCGGCGUGCCUAAUACAUGCAAGUCGAGCGAACAGAUGAGGAGCUUGCUCCUCUGACGUUAGCGGCGGACGGGUGAGUAACACGUGGAUAACCUACCUAUAAGACUGGGAUAACUUCGGGAAACCGGAGCUAAUACCGGAUAAUAUAUUGAACCGCAUGGUUCAAUAGUGAAAGACGGUUUUGCUGUCACUUAUAGAUGGAUCCGCGCCGCAUUAGCUAGUUGGUAAGGUAACGGCUUACCAAGGCAACGAUGCGUAGCCGACCUGAGAGGGUGAUCGGCCACAAUGGAACUGAGACACAGUCCAGACUCCUACGGGAGGCAGCAGUAGGGAAUCUUCCGCAAUGGGCGAAAGCCUGACGGAGCAACGCCGCGUGAGUGAUGAAGGUCUUCGGAUCGUAAAACUCUGUUAUUAGGGAAGAACAAAUGUGUAAGUAACUAUGCACGUCUUGACGGUACCUAAUCAGAAAGCCACGACUAACUACGUG
Molecule: ribosomal RNA, 497 nt
Filed under: uncultured bacterium
Lineage: Bacteria
Description: partial 16S ribosomal RNA
Rfam family: Bacterial small subunit ribosomal RNA
Source: RNAcentral